AUGGUUACAACAGAGUCACAA
Caenorhabditis elegans is the source of this 21-nucleotide non-coding RNA. The record is from Ensembl. NCBI's taxonomy places the organism in Eukaryota, Metazoa, Nematoda, Chromadorea, Rhabditida, Rhabditidae.